GCCAGCUUAGCUCAGUUGGUAGAGCAGUGCAUUCGUAAUGCAAAGGUCACAGGUUCGACUCCUGCAGUUGGCA
This 73-nucleotide transfer RNA is filed under the name Enterococcus sp. PF1-24. Its description in RNAcentral is "tRNA-Thr". It matches the Rfam family "tRNA". Rfam says of the family: Transfer RNA (tRNA) molecules are approximately 80 nucleotides in length. The record is from RNAcentral. Lineage: Bacteria; Bacillati; Bacillota; Bacilli; Lactobacillales; Enterococcaceae. RNAcentral also lists the same sequence under 1 other name.